UGUACUUACACUUCUUCCUGCGGAGGAGGGUGGUGUAGUCGAAGGGAGUGCCGAGGCCGUAGCCGUAGUUCAGGCCGUAGACACCAAUGCCGUGGCCGAGACCGUAGUGGCCAGCGCCGUAGCCGAGGCUUCCAACACCGUAGCCGUAGACUGGAGCGGCGUAGUAGGCAGCGAAGGCUGGGGCAGCGUGGGCGACAGUAGCGACCGCUGGGGCAUGGUGGACGGUGGUGGUGGCAACAGCU
Molecule: long non-coding RNA, 242 nt
Organism: Rhipicephalus sanguineus (brown dog tick)
Lineage: Eukaryota; Metazoa; Arthropoda; Arachnida; Ixodida; Ixodidae
Exons: 2
Source: RefSeq, a predicted model, not a curated record